UACGUAGGGUGCAGGCGUUAAUCGGAAUUACUGGGCGUAAAGCGUGCGCAGGCGGUUUCUUAAGUCAGAUGUGAAAGCCCCGGGCUUAACCUGGGAACUGCGUUUGAAACUGGGAGACUUGAGUGUGGCAGAGGGGGGUGGAAUUCCACGUGUAGCAGUGAAAUGCGUAGAGAUCGGGAGGAACAUCAGUGGCGAAGGCGGCCCUCUGGACCAGCACUGACGCUGAGGCACGAAAGCGUGGGGAGCAAACAGG
This 253-nucleotide ribosomal RNA is filed under the name uncultured bacterium. RNAcentral describes it as "partial 16S ribosomal RNA". It matches the Rfam family "Bacterial small subunit ribosomal RNA", at positions 524 to 776 of the family's 1533-position model. The record is from RNAcentral.